GGUGUGCUGGCGCAAUGGUAGCGCGUAGUCCUCCUAUUGUCUGUCAUUUGGCAACAGGAAACCAGACUAAGGCUCAGGGUUCGAGUCCCUGGUAUACCG
Purpureocillium lavendulum is the source of this 99-nucleotide non-coding RNA. The record is from the annotation of a GenBank genome assembly. Lineage: Eukaryota; Fungi; Ascomycota; Sordariomycetes; Hypocreales; Ophiocordycipitaceae.